CAGGGCCGCUAAGGAAGAUGCCACGUUUUCAGGCCCUUCCAGAUAAAGAAGAGACCUGUGGUUAAAUAGACACACCCACCUUCAGAGGCGUGGCACAACCACCUGUUACUUCAGCCGGCCCUUCGGGGGUGGCCUCAACCUGGACACCCCCUCACAGGAGUGCUGGCAAAUUUUUCCCUCACCAGAUUUCCAGGGGUGGUUUACUGCCCUUUGGAACAGCGCUCCAGGCAACUGCCCGCAUGUCCUGGCCCUAAUCCAGCGUGCAAACGUAUUUGUCCGCAGAGAUGGGGUGUUCGCGGGGGUGAGAAUGGCACGCUGUGUGAGCCCAUCCUCCAGAGAAAGAGCACCAGUGGGGGCUGCGUGGAUCCACAGAAACAGAUGGAUGAGGAGGGGCUGGCUCGCGAGACUGUGGAGGCUGAGAAGGCCCACAGUGUGCCAUCUGCAAACCAGAGGCCCAGCAAAGUUGGCGGUGCAGCUCCAGUCCACGCCCGAGGCCUGAGAAGCAGGACACCAGUGUUUGCGGGCAGGAGAACACGGAGGUCCCAGCCCAGCGGGGAGCCAAUUCAUCCCUCCUCCACCUUUGUUCUAUUUGAGCCCCCAUGGAUUGGCGACGUCCUCCUACACUGGGGUCACCUCCUUCAGGAAGCCUUCCUGGAUCAGAAUGCAUCUGGGUGGAGAGCCCUUUGUCUGCAUUCGCACAGUGCCCUGCCCUUCCCUGCCCAGCCUGGACCGUGUCUGGACAUUAAUGCACCAAACUCAAGUUGUGGUUUCGUGUCUGUGUCUGGAGGCUGUGAGCUCCCUGAGGAAUCCAAGAAGGUGUGUGAGAAGGAAGCCUGGAGCUGGCAAGAGAAGGCGUGCUGGCUCUCUUCUCUCCACUCACAAGCUGCUGGAGCCGACACCUUCACCUGUGGGGAAGAAGGGAUCCCUGCCCUCCUUGGGAUGCCUAUGGUGUCCCACAGAAACGUCUGCAGGCACGUUCUCAAAGGACUGCAGUCCUUUCCAGGUUCUUUUGCUUCUAAAUCUCGGAGCCAGGGGGUGAUGAAGUCCUCGCGGGUGGAGGAGUCGGCAGAGGUCCUGCGGCUCGAGAGAAAUCCCGUCGUGCCUAGAAGCCACGUGUCCUGCCUUCGUGUCCGGAAGCCGGUCCUCCCUGUCACAGGGUUCCCAUCCUCAUCUGCUGCUGUAGAAGGAAAGAGCACGGAGAGUCACGACUGGGAGGCCUCGUGCACCAUUUCAUUUCUGCUCACAUCCUGCCGGCUGGAGCUCAGUGAUGUGGCCACACUGCCAGGGAUGCUGGGAGCAGCUGCUCUGCUUUGGACACAAAGCACUUCUGCAUCAGAAGCCCUGUGUUGCUUGCCCUCCACCUCCUGAGACUGCAGUCUUCCACACGCUUGGGCAUCCAUCUCCUGAGGCUGCAGUCUUCCUCACGCUUGGGCGUCCAUCUCCUGAGGCUGUGGUUUUCCACACGCUUGGGUGUCCAUCUCCUGAGGCUGCGGUCUUCCACAUGCUGUGCGGGUGCCUAUGCGCCUUGCAGUCCGGGGGCAGCAACACUGGCUUCAUUCCUAGUGCCUGCCAGUCUGUGAGCCUUGUAAAUCCACCAAGCUGGGAGCACUCUGAUUAUACACAGACAUCUUCCCUGGUGAAAAGGGUCUUGAGUAGUCAACUUGCCACCAAGUGCCUGAUUCAUCUCCUCAAAAGAUGGUCCAAAUAUGGGGCUCACCCUUGAUUCCUGUUGCUGGAGAAAAGGAGAGUCAGGAGGGGAUCCUGAGAAGAGCCAGCAAAGUCUCGUGAGGACCUGACUCAUCUGAGGCCUCUGCGUGCUGCUAGGCAAGGGGUGUGCUCACAAUCUUCGAUCACGGGUAACAGGCCACUUCUGCAGGCCCAGCAGUGCGGGGAAGCUGGGAGUUCAAAAUUCUCAGAAGUCAGUCCAGAUCUCAAGACUCAGAGUCCCACUCCUUUUCUGGUAUGGCCUUGACCUUGAGGUAGGAGACCUGCAAGCUGAGAAUUCAACCUCCUCUGAGGCUCUGCUGCCCUUACAUGGUUAAGUCCUGAACCUGGCCCUUCGCGCUGACGGCCUUCGGCUGCAAGAGUUAAAGUUUCCGUAAACACUGCAAAGGAAAUCCUGCUUUCACAGCUUGCCUUGAGUUGUCAACUAAUUACCAUAAGUCUGAUUCAUCUUUCUUCAGUGAGUACAUCCAUGGCACUCAGUCCAGCCACCAGCUCCACAGUUGUCUUGCCUCUCCGGUGCUAGAGACGUGCCCGAGCUGGGUGGCACCUUCCAUUUGUGUCCGAACACGGUUAACUUUGGUAGACAGUUUGCAGCUGCCUUGCUCCAGCACACCAGAGACCACUCCUACCGCACUGACCGCUGGUGAUGGCAUCCACAUUGCCAACUGGCCAGACAGUAAUCACCUCCAAACUCCCAUUUUACAGUCGGCCUCCUGGGAUUUCCUGGUAUGAACUGGCUUAGAUUGGGUUCCCUGGAAACAGAUGAAGAGAUGUAGAAUUUCGUCCAGGGGUCACUGGGGAGUGCUCUUGGGAGAAAUACCUGUCAAAAAAAAAGUGAGAAAGGGAAGAUUGGUGAAGAGAAGGAGCCGCAGCAGCAGGAGCAGCUGGCCUCGAAUCCUGCGGUUUCCACUGAGGAGUCAGCCCUUCCCAUGGGGAGCCUGGAGCUUGGACGGCCUCUCAGUGUUUCCCCGGUUGAGGCCAAGGUGCUGAGGCUUUGGGUUCCCACAUCAGCCCAUCCUUGGCCCAGCUUGUCCCUUAGGAAGGGUGUAACCUUGGGAAGGCAGUACCUUGCAGCUGAGGGCAACUCCCCGUGAGGGAUGCAGCUGUGAAUUGUCAGCAGCCAGCGUUCUCAGCAGCUGGGAACUGGACGACAUCCCGAUGAGGGACUCUGAGGAGAACACCAGAGUGUCCGCUGCAGGCACCCUAAGCUCGUGCUUCCCACUGAGCAAACAGGAAGGGCUGGAGUCAGGAAAAGUGGAGGAGCAAAGACAGUGUGUUGGAGGCGGCAACAUCAAUUUCACACCUGUGUGGGUUCUCACACAUUACUCUGUUUGAUCUUGGACAAGUUAAUCAGCCUCUUUGUACCUACGCGCCUCCAUCUAUAGAAUGACAUUACUGACGAGUAAAGACCUUGAAAUGGUGCCUCGCUUAUUGUAAAUACUCAGAAAAAUGUUGUUCCUAUUGCUAUUGGUAUUGUUUUUAUUGCUAUUUUUCAGCAGUCCAAACUUAUUUUCCAGCUACAUUUCACUUCCCGUCACCCUCUAACCUGGCCCUUCGCUGCUUUUCUCCUAAAACAAAACCUUUCCUUCUAUCUUGCUGAUUUCUUCUCUUUUUCUUGGAAGGUGCCACACCCCAAGCUUACCCAUCUCCC
Long non-coding RNA from Equus caballus (horse), 3376 nucleotides. NCBI's taxonomy places the organism in Eukaryota, Metazoa, Chordata, Mammalia, Perissodactyla, Equidae. The record is from Ensembl.